This 60-nucleotide transfer RNA is filed under the name Proasellus karamani. RNAcentral describes it as "transfert RNA-S1(AGA)". The record is from RNAcentral. Lineage: Eukaryota; Metazoa; Arthropoda; Malacostraca; Isopoda; Asellidae.
UUAUAGGGUGGAGAGGCGGCCUUCUAAUUCGCUGGAAAGUGUAAACUUACACCCUAUUUA